Molecule: ribosomal RNA, 502 nt
Filed under: uncultured bacterium
Lineage: Bacteria
Description: bacterial SSU rRNA
Rfam family: Bacterial small subunit ribosomal RNA
Source: RNAcentral
AGAGUUUGAUCAUGGCUCAGGACGAACGCUGGCGGCGUGCUUAACACAUGCAAGUCGAACGAUGAACCACUUCGGUGGGGAUUAGUGGCGAACGGGUGAGUAACACGUGGGCAAUCUGCCCUUCACUCUGGGACAAGCCCUGGAAACGGGGUCUAAUACCGGAUACUGACCCUCGCAGGCAUCUGCGAGGUUCGAAAGCUCCGGCGGUGAAGGAUGAGCCCGCGGCCUAUCAGCUUGUUGGUGAGGUAAUGGCUCACCAAGGCGACGACGGGUAGCCGGCCUGAGAGGGCGACCGGCCACACUGGGACUGAGACACGGCCCAGACUCCUACGGGAGGCAGCAGUGGGGAAUAUUGCACAAUGGGCGAAAGCCUGAUGCAGCGACGCCGCGUGAGGGAUGACGGCCUUCGGGUUGUAAACCUCUUUCAGCAGGGAAGAAGCGAAAGUGACGGUACCUGCAGAAGAAGCGCCGGCUAACUACGUGCCAGCCGCCGCGGUAAUAC